ACGCUCGACACCUACGGGAGGCAGCAGUGGGGAAUAUUGGGCAAUGGGCGCAAGCCUGACCCAGCAACGCCGCGUGAAGGAAGAAGGCUUUCGGGUUGUAAACUUCUUUUGUCAGGGAACAGUAGAUGAGGGUACCUGACGAAUAAGCUCCGGCUAACUACGUGCUAGCAGCCGCGGUAAUCUGAGCGGGCUGGCAAGGC
RNAcentral lists this ribosomal RNA (200 nucleotides) under uncultured bacterium. RNAcentral's name for it is "partial 16S ribosomal RNA". It matches the Rfam family "Bacterial small subunit ribosomal RNA", at positions 328 to 539 of the family's 1533-position model. The record is from RNAcentral.